Molecule: ribosomal RNA, 484 nt
Filed under: uncultured bacterium
Lineage: Bacteria
Description: partial 16S ribosomal RNA
Rfam family: Bacterial small subunit ribosomal RNA
Source: RNAcentral
AUUGAACGCUGGCGGCAGGCCUAACACAUGCAAGUCGAGCGGAUGAAGGGUGCUUUCUCCUGGAUUCAGCGGCGGACGGGUGUGUAAUUCCUAUGAAUCUCCCUUGUAUUGGGUGAUAACGUCCUGUAACGGGCGCUAAUACCGCAUACGUCCUGAGUGUGAUACUUGGUGUUCUUCGGACCUCACGCUAUCUUCUGUGCCUAGUUCGUAUUUGCUAGUUGGUUGGGUAAAGGCCUACCAAGGCGACGAUCCGUAACUGGUCUGAGAGGAUGAUCAGUCAAACUGGAACUGAGACACGGACAAGACUACUAAGGGAGGCAGCAGAGGGGAAUAUUGGACAAUGGGGGAAAGGAUGAAAAAGAAAAGCCGAGGGUGAGAAGAAGGUCUUAGGAUUGUAAAGAACGUUAAGUAGGGAGGAAGGGAAGUAAGUUAAAAAGUAGAUGUAGUGACGGUAACAAAAGAAUAAGCACCGGCUAACUACGUG